GACGAACGUUGGCGGCGUGCUUAAUACAUGCAAGUCCACUGAAGCAGUGGUAGCAAUAUCGCUGUGGAGGUGGCGCACGGGUGAGUAACACGUAGGUAAUCUGCCUUCAGGUCUGGCAUAACUCCGGGAAACCGGGGCUAAUAGCAGAUGAUGCAGCGGCUCGACAUCGAGACAGUUGUUAAAGCUAUGGCGCCUGAAGAUGAGCCUGCGUCUGAUUAGCUAGUUGGCGGGGUAACGGCCCACCAAGGCAACGAUCAGUAGCUGGUCUGAGAGGAUGAUCAGCCACACUGGAACUGAGACACGGUCCAGACUCCUACGGGAGGCAGCAGUAAGGAAUAUUGCUCAAUGGGAGAAAUCCUGAAGCAGCAACGCUGCGUGAGGGACGAAGGGCUUUUGCUUGUAAACCUCUGUAGUGAGAGAAAAAAAUCCCAAUCUUUGGGACAUGAUGGUAUCUCAAAAGUAAGCCCCGGCUAACCACGUG
Molecule: ribosomal RNA, 481 nt
Filed under: uncultured bacterium
Lineage: Bacteria
Description: partial 16S ribosomal RNA
Rfam family: Bacterial small subunit ribosomal RNA
Source: RNAcentral